AUUUAAAUAGCUUAUUAAAUAGAGUAUAGUUUUGAAGCAGCUAAGGAAAUAAUUUUUAUUUUUAAAUA
RNAcentral lists this transfer RNA (68 nucleotides) under Diptera sp. 77 LC-2017. RNAcentral's name for it is "tRNA-Phe". Lineage: Eukaryota; Metazoa; Arthropoda; Insecta; Diptera. The record is from RNAcentral.